AACGAACGCUGGCGGCAUGCCUAACACAUGCGAGUCGAACGAGACCUUCGGGUCUAGUGGCGCACGGGUGCGUAACGCGUGGGAACCUGCCCUUAGGUUCGGAAUAACUCCCCGAAAGGGGUGCUAAUACCGGAUAAUGUCUUCGGACCAAAGAUUUAUCGCCUUUGGAUGGGCCCGCGUUGGAUUAGCUAGUUGGUAGGGUAAAAGCCUACCAAGGCGACGAUCCAUAGCUGAUCUGAGAGGAUGAUCAGCCACACUGGGACUGAGACACGGCCCAGACUCCUACGGGAGGCAGCAGUGGGGAAUAUUGGACAAUGGGCGAAAGCCUGAUCCAGCAAUGCCGCGUGAGUGAUGAAGGCCUUAGGGUUGUAAAGCUCUUUUACCCGGGAUGAUAAUGACAGUACCGGGAGAAUAAGCUCCGGCUAACUCCGUG
Molecule: ribosomal RNA, 433 nt
Filed under: uncultured bacterium
Lineage: Bacteria
Description: partial 16S ribosomal RNA
Rfam family: Bacterial small subunit ribosomal RNA
Source: RNAcentral